RNAcentral lists this ribosomal RNA (251 nucleotides) under uncultured bacterium. RNAcentral's name for it is "partial 16S ribosomal RNA". It matches the Rfam family "Bacterial small subunit ribosomal RNA", at positions 525 to 775 of the family's 1533-position model. The record is from RNAcentral.
ACGUAUGGUGCAAGCGUUAUCCGGAUUUACUGGGUGUAAAGGGAGCGCAGGCGGAAGGCUAAGUCUGAUGUGAAAGCCCGGGGCUCAACCCCGGUACUGCAUUGGAAACUGGUCAUCUAGAGUGUCGGAGGGGUAAGCGGAAUUCCUAGUGUAGCGGUGAAAUGCGUAGAUAUUAGGAGGAACACCAGUGGCGAAGGCGGCUUACUGGACGAUAACUGACGCUGAGGCUCGAAAGCGUGGGGAGCAAACAG